Molecule: ribosomal RNA, 207 nt
Filed under: uncultured bacterium
Lineage: Bacteria
Description: partial 16S ribosomal RNA
Rfam family: Bacterial small subunit ribosomal RNA
Source: RNAcentral
CGUGUAGGCGGUCUGUUAAGUCUGAUGUGAAAGCCCCGGGCUCAACCUGGGAAGUGCAUUGGAUACUGGCAGACUUGAGUAUGGGAGAGGAAAGUGGAAUUCCGAGUGUAGGGGUGAAAUCCGUAGAUAUUCGGAGGAACACCAGUGGCGAAGGCGGCUUUCUGGACCAAUACUGACGCUGAGACGCGAAAGCGUGGGGAGCAAACA